UCGUCCGUUUAGGUGGGUUUCGAUUGGUUUCUUGAUUGGGUCCCUGGCCAGUUGGUGGAGGGACGCGCAGGACACGGAGGCGGCAAAUAUGCCGAGGGGGGUGCCCUAUGCCGCGUCCCAGAUCUCGACUUCUUGCGGCAUGAAGUUCUGCAUCUUGUGUUUAAUCUCCGGCGAGAUGAUAAUUUGGGGAAGAAUGACGAGGAGGGUUCUCGGAGCCGGUGUUAUGCUUUGAUUGGUUUGGAUUUGUGGUCGCAUGCGCUCAAAAGGUUCGCAUUUGGGACCUUUCUGGACAAACAAAUCUGAUAUUAAUGAAUGAGUGGAAUAGGUUUCCUCAAAAUUGUCAUCAAAUGGCAGAUCAAGAGGGUCUUCUAGAAGUUCAGGUCUAUACAUUAUCAGAAAAUAUGACUUGCAAAAGUGAAGUUAAAAAACAUGACCCAGCAUCUGACCAAUCUAAAAUGAAUGGAUUCUCUUUUGGUGGCUCACCUGUGUGCAAUGGCAGCUUACGAAAUGUGGACUCAAGUCCUCAAAAUGGAAACCUCAAGGGAGGUGGCAAGGUUCCAGUAUGAUACUUGCUUUGCUCUUGUGGCAAGGUUUUGGUUUUGGAUGUCACUGGAAUUAUAAUGCGAUUCAGUUUUAUCAGAUUUAAACGGGGAACUUGUUUUGGCAUUUGGAGAUAUAUUAAGGAGCUUAUGGGCACCUGAAAGAACGCCAGUUUUUCCAUGGGUUUUCAAGGCAAAGCUUGCUCAUUUUUCCCCUCAGUUCAAUGGCUUCAACCAACAUGACUUACAGAUGGACUUCAUGAGGGCCUGAAUCAUGUCAAACAUAAGCCAUAUGUAGAAGCUAAGGAUGCGUCUGGUCGUCCUGAUGAAGAAGUUGCUGAUGAAUACCGGGGAAAUCAUUUAGCUCGAAAUGACUCCAUUAUAGUUGAUAUUUGCCAAGUAUUACAUCCUUGGCAAAAGGACAAGUUGGAAAGGCUUUAGUGUUCCUCUUAUGGCAAUGCUGCCAGAUAUUGUUGAUGGAUCCACCAUCCAAAAACUGUUCCUGAAGCUUAUGAAUCCAUUUAAAACAAGCAAGGAUACUGGAUCAGUUGAUGUUCAAGAUAGACCCCAAACAGUGUUUGACAGUGGGUCUACAGAUGAAGCUGUCAAAGAGACCACUGAUGGUGAGGACGAGUUCCAAUUUAACAGAUGAAAAGAGCAAAAUCAUGCAACGCAAACUAGAAAUGAACGAACCUGUUUCAUUGCCUGAAUUGCAAAAGCAUUUGUAUAUUCUAGUAUGUUGGCAGAGUAAAGCAUUAGAGCAAUAUGAUUCUAACAGAUUUACAAGUAUCGGUCUUUUCCUAGAAAACCUCAAGAUUCCUGUACUUUAUAUGCAUGCCUUGAAGCCUUCCUAAAGAAGGAACCACUGGGCCCAGAGGACAUGUCAUUAGCAUAUCAGGUUUUGCCCUUGUUGUAAGAAGCCUCAGCAAGCUAGCAAGAAACUACAUCUCUGGAGGCUGCCAGAAGUCCUAGUCAUUCAUCUGAAAAGAUUUUCAUACAGUAGGUACAUGAAAAACAAGCUGAAGACACUCGUAGACUUUUUCCAAUUCAUCACCUGGAUCUGUCAACAUAGAUUGUUGGCGUGCCCGAGCAAAGGAUUCUGGUUUCCAAUACCAUGAUGGGUAAUCCCAUAAUGCAUCUAAUUCAUUUGGUUUUCAAAAAAUGUUUAUAUGUUAACAUCUCUGAAGCUGUUUUCUGGUAGCAAAUAAUUCUGAGAUCAAGAAAGA
Non-coding RNA from Musa acuminata subsp. malaccensis (wild Malaysian banana), 1765 nucleotides. NCBI's taxonomy places the organism in Eukaryota, Viridiplantae, Streptophyta, Magnoliopsida, Zingiberales, Musaceae. The record is from RefSeq and is a predicted model, not a curated record.